AUCCCCACAACACUGUUAUCAAGUUGUUUAACAAAAUUAUCCCGAAAUCCACUCAACAACUCCACAAAACAGAAGAAAGUGUCUGCUUCAGCAGAGACCUGCAUGCCAGACAAGAAUCAAAACAAUAAUUUCUGCUGAAGAACAAUGAAGAUUAACACACAUCAAAAUAGUUUCUUCCAUCCCAGCACUAUUCCCAGUUGAAGAAAAUGCACUUGGUAAAAUCGCUGCUGAAUAUUAAGAUUAAAACUACAGUAAUCACAAAAUAAAAAUUUUAAACUACCUCAUCUAAAAACUUGAGCCGAUAAAUAGGGGAUGAUACACUCGAUUAAUUUUUGUAGGAUAAAAGUUAGCAAUUUCUUUAUGUCAUGCUUGUUCCUGAAGUAGGAAGAAGUUCAUUUGUUUUAUUUAAAUUUUUGUCUUCAACAAGCCCUCACGUGCUGGCCAGAUAAUUUUUCAUUAAAGGACAUAUGCACAUUUUUUCAUAAAUGGGUAGCGGCAAGACUUGAUGCCGAGAUGCAAAUAGCAUGUUGAACCAUUAAAUCUGAAAACUUAG
RNAcentral lists this long non-coding RNA (553 nucleotides) under Olea europaea (common olive). RNAcentral's name for it is "long non-coding RNA (OEUR_LNC001544)". The record is from RNAcentral. Lineage: Eukaryota; Viridiplantae; Streptophyta; Magnoliopsida; Lamiales; Oleaceae.